AACGAACGCUGGCGGCAUGCCUAACACAUGCAAGUCGAACGAGACCUUCGGGUCUAGUGGCGCACGGGUGCGUAACGCGUGGGAACCUGCCCUUAGGUUCGGAAUAACUCCCCGAAAGGGGUGCUAAUACCGGAUAAUGUCUUCGGGCCAAAGAUUUAUCGCCUUUGGAUGGGCCCGCGUUGGAUUAGCUAGUUGGUAGGGUAAAAGCCUACCAAGGCGACGAUCCAUAGCUGGUCUGAGAGGAUGAUCAGCCACACUGGGACUGAGACACGGCCUAGACUCCUACGGGAGGCAGCAGUGGGGAAUAUUGGACAAUGGGCGAAAGCCUGAUCCAGAAAUGCCGCGUGAGUGAUGAAGGCCUUAGGGUUGUAAAGCUCUUUUACCCGGGAUGAUAAUGACAGUACCGGGAGAAUAAGCUCCGGCUAACUCCGUG
This 433-nucleotide ribosomal RNA is filed under the name uncultured bacterium. Its description in RNAcentral is "partial 16S ribosomal RNA". It matches the Rfam family "Bacterial small subunit ribosomal RNA", at positions 29 to 507 of the family's 1533-position model. The record is from RNAcentral.